CCUCAGUUGAUGGCAACAUAUCAAAGGUGACGCAUUUGUCAGUGAGAUAAGCUGCUGCCAGAAAUGUGAUGCACAAUGCUUUACUGAAAAUCUGACAGGUUUCAGAGAUCGUAAGUCUCUGAUGGCUUCAUUCGGACUACUCACAGAGCAUAAGGCUAAGCAGGGAGAAACUUUAAAGGGACUUGGCUGGAGGGCCAAGUCACAGGAAGAGGCAGGUCACUGUAGAAGCGGAGCAGCUGUUGGCUAGAGACAGCCAGUGAGGCAAGAGCAACUAUGCUAUGCCCCACAACAAAGAGGCACCAGCGAUGGUAUCCUUGUCGUCAUGACAAUCAUGAACUGUUUCAAGUGACUUCUGGCUAAGCACUCCCACCUCUAUUUUUGCUCUGGGAUUGGAAUGGAAGGAAAGAGAGAGGAGUUGCAUCUUUUUCAUGGGAACACUGCCUCCAUUCUGACUUGGUAUACCUUUCUCCAGAAGGUCUAUUUGUAUUGGUACUCUCUUAGAAGCUAACCGACCCAGUUUGAUUUCAGAUGUUGCCACGGAAAAUUUUUCUGAAGUUGUCAAAUACUUUAUGAAUGGCCUGGUAUGAUGUUAUCCAUCUUUUGUCCUUGACUACUGAUGUAACAGUUUCCAUAUGCCUCUGUGUUCCUAUAUCAUCUUUAUACCUCACCAUGGGGUAUAGAUGACCUGCAACAAAUGAAGCAAAAGGAAGACAAAUGAAUUUUUAAAAGAGACACAAACAAAAUUUUGAAAUACUAUGACUUAGCUGUGCAGGAGACAAGGAUAUAUUUCUCUCCCUCCAUCAUAACUUCUGCAAAGUUGGAGUAACUGCUCAAGCUGGUGAACAUCCUUAUGAAUUUGGGUUCUUGCCACUUGUUUUCAAAGGCAAGUGUUUGUCCCAGGUACAAUGUUCAAUUUACUUUGUGGACAACAUUGCUCAUAUCCACACUGGACUGUCUCUGUGGCCCCUAUUCAACAGAACACUUCAGCGUCUGUCAACACUUCCUGUCUAGUGCUUUGUUGGAUUGGGGCCAUAGGCAGAGCCUGUGUCAUUCCCUGUCUCUAAACUUCUGGAAGUGCUAAGUGGGUGGGCUACAGUGUGCACAUAGGUCCAGUGUUGAAAGUGGCUGUAAGCUUUCCAUUCUGUGGUAAGCAAGGCCCCAAACUGUGCAGCCCUCUCUGGCAGGAGAUACAGUAAGGUGGGGCAGAGGGAUACACUGGUUUAGAGUGUCCCUAUUCCAGCCCAUGCCUACAAGGCUCUUCUUGAGCUUCUGGCAGAACCUAAAACACCACUAGGCUUUUCUUGCUGUGGGUUGGGCUAUGGUGGGCCCCUCUGGUGAGUGGAGGUGCAAUUUGGACCCACAUGAGCUGGCUGGGCUGAAUCUAGUGCCCAGGGAAUAUUAUUAUUACUUUCUCAUUCUUAAAUUGUAAUGUGCAGGAAUAUUACUGAUACAAUAGACUCCACACUAACGUUGCUUCAGACAAUACAAUGUAGUAUUUUAACAAGACCUGGUAUUACUUGUGUAUGUAUAGUUUAGUUGUUUUUUGAGGGGCUAAUCAAUUGCUGCUAAUAGUAAUAAAGCCCCUUUCUAUUUUUUACUUGUUGUUUUGAUCAGGCAUGGUAUAGUGGUACAAUUGACACACUCUUUUAAUCGUGUACCUUUCUUAUCCCAAAUAACCACUGAUUCGCAGAUUAUUCUUUCAUUUAUGUGCCUGGGAAAUUCUUAUUAAUGCUCAAAACCUGAUUGGCGCCAGGUGGGCAGACUCCAGCACUCAUACUGCUCCCCUGUUUUCAGUGGACUUCCAUCCUCAAGGAGCCAGUUGUAGGAAGAGGACUCAAGACUCUAUAUUGUGAUAUGGGUCAUAUCUAGACAGGUUACAAUUACAUGAAUUUGAUUUGCACAAGUUUACCAACAGGCAAUUAAGUCCCUAAUUUGGAAUACACAGUGAAGCGUGUUAGUUAGAAGCACUGAUUAGAGUGACUUUCAAGCCCCUUUUUAACUGUUUCCAACAACUACGCUUAAAUCCCUAUCCAUAAAAUUAUCUUUUCUUGAGCAUUAUUACAAAGAACCCCAUUGGAACCCCAAACUAAACUUGCUGGGCCACUUGUAUCUUUUUUGGUCUUAUAACACCAGAGUUACUGAGAAACUUCUGUUGUUUUGGAUAAUAAACUGAGAAACAAAAGAAGGUGUCAAAUAUUUGUGUAGUAGCUCAUGGUGUCAAUUUUUUCUCCUGGCUGUUUAAGGUGCAC
This is a long non-coding RNA of Dermochelys coriacea (leatherback sea turtle), 2249 nucleotides long. RefSeq lists it as uncharacterized. Lineage: Eukaryota; Metazoa; Chordata; Testudines; Dermochelyidae. The transcript is spliced from 4 exons. The record is from RefSeq and is a predicted model, not a curated record.